AUUGAACGCUGGCGGCAUGCCUUACACAUGCAAGUCGAACGGCAGCACGGGUGCUUGCACCUGGUGGCGAGUGGCGCACGGGUGAGUCAUACAUCGGAACAUGUCCUGUAGUGGGGGAUAGCCCGGCGAAAGCCGGAUUAAUACCGCAUACGAUCUACGGGUGAAAGCGGGGGGCCUUCGGGCCUCGCGCUGUUGGGUUGGCCGAUGGCGGAUUAGCUAGUUGGUGGGGUAAAGGCAUACCAAGGCGACGAUCCGUAGCUGGUCUGAGAGGACGACCAGCCACGCUGGGACUGAGACACGGCCCAGACUCCUACGGGAGGCAGCAGUGGGGAAUGUUGGACAAGGGGCGAAAGCCUGAUCCAGCAAUGGCGCGUGUGUGAAGAAGGCCUUCGGGUUGUAAAGCACUUUUGUCCGGAAAGAAAUCCUUGGCCCUAAUACGGUCGGGGGAUGACGGUACCGGAAGAAUAAGCACCGGCUAACUACGUG
Molecule: ribosomal RNA, 486 nt
Filed under: uncultured bacterium
Lineage: Bacteria
Description: partial 16S ribosomal RNA
Rfam family: Bacterial small subunit ribosomal RNA
Source: RNAcentral